Long non-coding RNA from Odontomachus brunneus, 981 nucleotides. RefSeq lists it as uncharacterized. The record is from RefSeq and is a predicted model, not a curated record. NCBI's taxonomy places the organism in Eukaryota, Metazoa, Arthropoda, Insecta, Hymenoptera, Formicidae. The transcript is spliced from 3 exons.
AGAAUGGAUUCUACAAAAUCUGUAGAGUGCAAGUUUAGUGAAUAUAAAUGCUGUACCGGAGGAUCCGGUUCGGGCAAAGCAAAGUCGGCUCGAAAAUUUGCAGCAGAACGUGAUUGAGUUCCUGGUAUUUCGAUCUCAUUCGGGCCGGCGAACAAUACACAUACACGGACUACACGCGUCAGCACGUUAUCUGUAUUGUCUGUAUUGUUGCUCCGCACAAUCAAAACAUUCGCGACUUUCAAGGCGAUCAAAACAACCCUAACGUCUCGCGGACUCUUCCGCGUCUUUCCAUUCAGUCUCGGGCCGGCGCCCGACAUAUACACACACACAACGGACUACGUAUGCGGUGCGUCAUCUAUUAUUUCUCGCGAGUGAUUAGUAAUCUAUUUCGCCUUUUGAGAUACUCAAUUAGUCUCUCGUCGGUAUCGCGUUAUUUAACACGUGUAUCUUCGAGUCGUGUACCUUCAAAUCGUGUACUUUCGAAUCGUGUCUCCGCGAGUGUCAGUGCCAGUGCCACGACGGAGCGACCAGGAUAUUGGGACGAGAAGCCAAGAUGACGCAGGAAGCCGAGACAGCGAUACAUCAUAUAUUUUCAAGGUGUGUUAAAUCAUUUAUUAUAUAGCAAGUUUAUAUUUUUAACGGGCGUUUGUCGAACUUACGGAGAAUAAAGAAGUACCCGAGUCGAAAUUUAAGCCGGCAUUCAUAGUUUGUGAUCACUUACAUUUAAUUAUAGCUUCAUUGAUCUCCGAUUAAUUGUCAACUUAUACUUGUAUUUGUUAGAUUAUUUCAUACGAGAAAUAUUGAUCCUACAGCUGAGUUUAUGGUCUAUGAAUACUGAACUUAUUAUUAAUAAUGCUCUCGAUCAAGAAUAGUAAAUAAUUUGUAACUAUGAAUGUCGGCUUUAUGAUAUAAUAUUUGUAAUAUAAAUUUGACAAGUGCUGAUUUUUAUACGUCCAAUAAUGCUUCUUGUGUCGCGAUUUU